Triticum dicoccoides is the source of this 906-nucleotide long non-coding RNA. RefSeq lists it as uncharacterized. Lineage: Eukaryota; Viridiplantae; Streptophyta; Magnoliopsida; Poales; Poaceae. The record is from RefSeq and is a predicted model, not a curated record. The transcript is spliced from 3 exons.
ACGCAACCGUCCCUGCCCCUUAUCCGGCCACUCCCCCAUCCCCUACGCCUCAACCCUCCCGACGCCAGCUCCCCAGAUCCGCCCGUGCGUCCACCUGCCGCCACCACCGCCGCUCCUCUCGCCCAUCGGCGUUGCUUUCCUCCUCUAGUCCUCCAGCCGCUCCAGAAAAAUCCUUACUGGAUCCCCUGCACCCUCUCUUCUUUUGACCGCCUACCCUGAUAUCAGUCUCUGCACUCGAUUCCCCACCUCUGAGCGCCGCCACUCCCCUCUAUCCUCGACUCCUCCGACGUGCGCCUCACAUUCAGCUCCAACGACGGUCUCUCCCUCACGUUCUGCUUGUACUGCCAAAUAUUCAUUGCGCAGAGCGGGUUCUUCACCGCCAAGCUCUCAGAUCGCUGGUCCAAGAAGCAGCGGUCAUCGCUCUACGACUACGACGAUGUGGAGGUACACCUUGAGACUCUGUUCCUCAUCUGUUGCAAGGAUCUCUGCAGGAGGCUGAUGAGGAAGGUUGUGGGCAAGGUUCUCUGCAUCUCUGCAUUUUAAUGGCAAGGGUGCCAUUGCCUAAGAUUAACCGAUGGCUUUGACGAAGGGUGCCACUUCAGUAUUCUUCAGAGAAUGGGAAGCAAUGUUGGAGGUAGUCGCAAAGAUGGGAGCGAUAUCUAUGGUGGUGAGCGUAAUAUGAGGCCAAAGAGUAGAACAUAUUUCUCCAUGUGAUUCAACCAACUGAAGUUCUCAAGCUGGAGCCUUGAUGGUGUUUGAUGUUUUUUGUAAAAUUAUGUAGUCACUAUUUCCUCUUUUUUCUUUUUCUUUUGAUGAAUCAUUAAUAUUUAAUGUUAUUUGGAUGCAACUCUUGUUGUGCUUUUGAUACAUUAUGAGAUUGUGCAAAAUAUAAUUCAUCUUUUGUCA